This 1973-nucleotide long non-coding RNA is filed under the name Malus domestica (apple). RNAcentral's name for it is "long non-coding RNA (MDOM_LNC008131)". Lineage: Eukaryota; Viridiplantae; Streptophyta; Magnoliopsida; Rosales; Rosaceae. The record is from RNAcentral.
UUAGCGUUUGUGGUGAAAGUGACUUAAUUUUUGGUUGUAGAAAGAGGCGGUGGGAGGAUUACUGCCAACCACUAACUCCCCCUACACCAAAAAUAUUUAUAAGUCUAUUCCAGUUCCUCAAACUUUGAUCCAGAUUCGGAAAAUGCAUCCUUAAAUUCCCAAAAAUUGUCAUCAAACCCAACAUCUGGAGUACUGGAUACUAACUUAUUUUUAAUUCAAUGUCUUUCAGCGUUUUGCUGCUGUAAUUAUGAGAAUAAGGGAGCCUAAACUACAGCUUUGAUUUUUGCAUCUGGGAAGAUGGUGAGCCCUCCCAAAAACUUUUUAGGAUUGUAUUUGCUGACAACAAUAUGAUUUCAUUUCAGCUGUUCAUAUUGUUGUAAUAUCAUUAUUGGAAGCGAUUUGCUUUUGAAUCUUUUUACUCCUAUUCAGUUCCUUCUUUUGUGGAAAGUGUCUUUCUCCUUUAAUUCUAUGCCUGUUAGUGAGAUAUGAUAAAACAGUUUAUCUUACUUGAAUCAUACCCCAACUGAUUGCGCUAUUAUCUAUUGAUGUGUUGCAUCAAAUAUAAAGAUGAUUAUGUGUUUGUCAGAAUGUGUUUGGAAUUGUACAUGAUGAGUGUGUCAAUUUUUGGGUGCAAUCAAGUAAUGAUAUUGCUUAUUUCAGAAAAUAUCCUUAACAGGAGAGCAUUUUUUGGUUGCUAAUUUUGACUAUUGCAUCUAAAUUAAGUGUGUGUUUGAUUGGUUAUGGUCCUUCUGGAUUGCAUGUCAUGUAAAAAAUGUACAGUAUGUCGAUGCUUAAAUUCCUAAAUUUUGACGCUUAAGAUAUAUAUUUGGUAAUGGACUGAUCUUUUUAUGAGCAUGUUUAUUUAAUAUUUACUAAACUUCUAUGGUAAUAAAUUUGGCUUUAAGUUACUCAUGUCACAACCCUGGUAACUAGUGCAUUAUAUUUUGUCGACCCUUUUCAACUUGAUAUACACCCUCUCUUUUCCCCACUCUCCCUUAUUUAUGAUUUUAAAUCUUGAGUUAUGCACCCAUCAUACCUUGGAUGCCUCUGGUUAAGAUAUUUAAAUUUUAACCAGAUUGGUAUUAACAUAGCAAAAGUGGCAGCGAGGAAGGUAUCUGUUGAAUGCUUACAGAUUGGUAUUAACAUAGCAAAAAAGAUAGUGAUAUAUGUGAGUUUUCGUAACUUUUGACCCGAUUUUAGGCAUUUUAAGUUUGAAGCAGAGUGACAGUGGGUAAGAAUCAACUAAAAAAAUAAAGGAGAAUCAGAAGUAUUAAACAAAAAAUAUUACAUGCCAAUGAGAAUAUAUAAAUACACACAAAAUAUUACCUUCCAAAACAUUCACCUCUCAGAAACACCUUGAAAUCCCCCACAAAGUUUUCCAAUUUCCACCAGAAUUGAGCUUCUUCCAGUGUUGAGAAGCCAUCCCAGAAAACGGAAAGUAGAAGAACAAACACUUGGUCUGCACAAACUAUUCAGAUUAACAAAACUCAAAAUUAGAUUCCUUCUGAGUAAACCACACAAACCAAAGAAACACCAAUAAAAUGAAGUAGCUUUUUUCAACAGAACAAAAAAACUCCAAAACCAAAAACUUGAAAAUCUAAUAAAAAUGAAGAACAAAGAUUACAAAUUAGAUAACCAAAAUUACUAAAAAUAAAAAAAAAUCAACAUGCAUCAAACACAAAACUAAUCUGUAAAAGCGAGGGAAUCCAUUUGUAAUAUGCUUUUUGGUUUUGAACCUGAAGAAUUUGAUAUUCUGACCAGCACACCGAGGAAAGGAAUUAAGCCUAACGAAAUUGAACCCAAGCCUCAGAAAAUUGACUUGAGGUGUUUUCUGCAGUUUGAUCGGUUCACACACAACCGGAAUCAGCGGUCCGGUGGAAACUGAGACAGAGACAAAAAUUGCGAGGAUACAGUUGAAAUAGGAACUGAAACACAAAGAGAACACGAAGCAGAUUUUGACAUAUAAUAGGUGU